GAUGAACGCUGGCGGCGUGCCUAAUACAUGCAAGUCGAGCGAACGGACGAGAAGCUUGCUUUUCUGAUGUUAGCGGCGGACGGGUGAGUAACACGUGGAUAACCUACCUAUAAGACUGGGAUAACUUCGGGAAACCGGAGCUAAUACCGGAUAAUAUUUUGAACCGCAUGGUUCAAAAGUGAAAGACGGUCUUGCUGUCACUUAUAGAUGGAUCCGCGCUGCAUUAGCUAGUUGGUAAGGUAACGGCUUACCAAGGCAACGAUGCAUAGCCGACCUGAGAGGGUGAUCGGCCACACUGGAACUGAGACACGGUCCAGACUCCUACGGGAGGCAGCAGUAGGGAAUCUUCCGCAACGGGCGAAAGCCUGACGGAGCAACGCCGCGUGAGUGAUGAAGGUCUUCGGAUCGUAAAACUCUGUUAUUAGGGAAGAACAUAUGUGUAAGUAACUGUGCACAUCUUGACGGUACCUAAUCAGAAAGCCACGGCUAACUACGUG
RNAcentral lists this ribosomal RNA (497 nucleotides) under uncultured bacterium. Its description in RNAcentral is "partial 16S ribosomal RNA". It matches the Rfam family "Bacterial small subunit ribosomal RNA", at positions 28 to 507 of the family's 1533-position model. The record is from RNAcentral.